GGGCUGCUGGCGCAAUGGCAACGCGUUUGACUUCGAAUCAAAAGAUUACAGGUUCGAUCCCUGUGUAGCUCA
RNAcentral lists this transfer RNA (72 nucleotides) under Botrytis cinerea T4. RNAcentral describes it as "tRNA-Arg (TCG) (tRNA-Arg-TCG-1 1 to 3)". It matches the Rfam family "tRNA". Rfam says of the family: Transfer RNA (tRNA) molecules are approximately 80 nucleotides in length. Their secondary structure includes four short double-helical elements and three loops (D, anti-codon, and T loops). The record is from RNAcentral. RNAcentral also lists the same sequence under 1 other name. Lineage: Eukaryota; Fungi; Ascomycota; Leotiomycetes; Helotiales; Sclerotiniaceae.